GAUGAACGCUGGCGGCGUGCCUAAUACAUGCAAGUCGAGCGAACAGAUAAGGAGCUUGCUCCUUUGACGUUAGCGGCGGACGGGUGAGUAACACGUGGGUAACCUACCUAUAAGACUGGAAUAACUCCGGGAAACCGGGGCUAAUGCCGGAUAACAUUUAGAACCGCAUGGUUCUAAAGUGAAAGAUGGUUUUGCUAUCACUUAUAGAUGGACCCGCGCCGUAUUAGCUAGUUGGUAAGGUAACGGCUUACCAAGGCAACGAUACGUAGCCGACCUGAGAGGGUGAUCGGCCACACUGGAACUGAGACACGGUCCAGACUCCUACGGGAGGCAGCAGUAUGGAAUCUUCCGCAAUGGGCGAAAGCCUGACGGAGCAACGCCGCGUGAGUGAUGAAGGUCUUCGGAUCGUAAAACUCUGUUAUUAGGGAAGAACAAAUGUGUAAGUAACUGUGCACGUCUUGACGGUACCUAAUCAGAAAGCCACGGCUAACUACGUG
Molecule: ribosomal RNA, 497 nt
Filed under: uncultured bacterium
Lineage: Bacteria
Description: partial 16S ribosomal RNA
Rfam family: Bacterial small subunit ribosomal RNA
Source: RNAcentral